This is a long non-coding RNA of Mus musculus (house mouse), 2488 nucleotides long. RefSeq annotates it as predicted gene, 26511. The record is from RefSeq and is a predicted model, not a curated record. NCBI's taxonomy places the organism in Eukaryota, Metazoa, Chordata, Mammalia, Rodentia, Muridae. The transcript is spliced from 3 exons.
GCGUUGCUGUUUGAGUGUUCAAGGGACGACCCACGCCCUUCCACACCCUGGGUCGCCUUCUGACGCUUUCCUUUCCACCUCCAAAGCAAAACAGAAGUAUGCGAAGCCCCCUCCCACCCCCGACCCCUACACUUCUUGCAGCAAGUUUGCUUUCCUGUCUAGGAAUGGGCACAUAGAUUUCUGACCCAAGUACAGUUGCAGGUUUUAUCUGGAUCCGUCCAUAAACACAAACACUCAGCGAGAAAUGUAUAUAAAACGCGGCGGCGUGUGCGGGUGAGCGAGUUGGCUCAGUGGGUGAGGGUGCAAGCCUGAAGACCUGAGUUUGAUCCCAGGGAUCCACAUACUGGAAGGAGAGAGAACCAGAACCAACUCCAGCAAAUUGUCCUCUAACUUCCACACACACUCCCCUGUACUAAUUAAUUAAUUAGAAAGAAGAAACAUUACUUGGUUUGGGGGGUAGGACCCAGUAGUUAGAAUAAUUAUAAUUAUUAAUGGAAGAAUUCCAUAGCAAGAUAUGGUAACACUGAAACUAGGAAGAAGGCAGGCAGAUCUCUGUGAGCAAAGUCCAAACUGGUCUGGACAGCAAGUUCCAGACUAGCCUGGGCUACACAGAUUCUGUUUCCUCCUCCUCUUCUUUCCUUCUUUCUUUCUUUUCUUUCCUUUUCUUCUUUUGUUUUGUUUCUGUUUCUGUUUGUUUUGUUUUUCAAGACAAGGUUUCUCUGUGUAGCCCUGGUUGUCCUGGACUCUGUAGACCAGGCUGGCCUAGAACUCAGAGAUCUGCCUGCCUCUAACUCCUGAGUGCUGGGAUUAAAUGUUGAGUGUUUACUACCACCCCACUACCACCUGUCAAGAGACCCUGUUUCAAAGCUAAAGUUGAAAUUAUUUUAAAUAAUUCAUCUGAGAAUCAAUGGGUUCCUUCCUGUGUUGACAGAAAUGUUGAUUUUUGGUUUAUUUCCUUAGGCACCUGCUGGUACCGCUUUAUCCUGUUACAAGGAGUUGAACACACAGAAGGGCAUCUCUUCCCUCGAAGCAAAACCAACCACAUGUGGCCUUUUUCCCCUCUUGACACUGGAUGGCUAAACCAGAAGGCUGUCUGCCAUGGAUAGAGAAGUUUUGAUGAAUCAAAGGCUUAGGGAUUUUCUAAAAGGGACUCAGAUUCUGUCCCUGCCUAGCUCCCUGCAGAACAAACCAGGGCUAGUGUGUUGGCUUAGUGCAUGCAGCCAGGACUGACCUGAUGUGAGUUCAAAUCCGAGGACCCACAUGAGAGGAGAGAACUCGUCCCUGUGACCUGCACAUUCAUAUUGUGAUGUGUCACAGGCAGUAAUAAAAAAGUAAAUAAUACAUAAUGCAAAACAAACUACCAGAAGCUGAACCGUGAGACAGGAGAGAGAACGGGACACACUGCAUUGGGUUGGUAGGGUACCUGGCUUCGUCCCCAGCAUCACGUAAACCAAGCCUGUUGUCACAAUCUGUGGUCUCAGCACUCCCCGAGGGAGGCAGGAGGACCAUGAGGAUAGCCUCAGCUACACAGAUAGUAGAAGCCAGAAGACAGAAAGGUGUAAAAAGCUGCUUUUGUGAGUUGAUUUCUCUCGGUUUUUGUUUGUUUGUUUGUUUGUUUGUUUUUGAGACAGGGUCUCUCUAUUACAUGGCUCUGGCUGUCCUGGAACCCACUAUGUAGGCCAGGCUGGCCUCAAACUCAGAGAGAUCCAUCUGCCUGUCAAAGACAUGUGCCACCGCCCGAACAGCUUGGUUCUUUUUCUCCCUUGAGUUUUGAGGCGCUUAUGCGUGUGCUCACACGUAUAUGUAGGCCAGAGUUCAACGUCAGGUGUCCUCCUUGGUUGCCUCUCACCUAAUUAAAACUCAUGGUAUUACUGAAUUUUGUGUGUGUACACACAUGCCCAUGAGUGCUGGGGGUCAGCUAACAGCUUACAGAAGUCCGUUUUCUCCUGAGUGGGUCUCCGUCCCAGCCUGCCACACAUGGCAGUUCACACAUGGCAGCUCCCUGGCUUGGCAACAGGAGACUCACUAUAAAUAACCUGUAACUCCUGGGCUCAGUGAUCCCCUUUCUCUGUCUCCUGAACAGCUGGGACUCCCCCUCCUCUGCCUUGCCCUCCCCACUGGGCCUCCUUAGAGUCACCAGGAAGGAAUCUCUUCCCUGAAGUCAAGCUGUGUGCUGAGCUGGUCACAGUGGCCGGGGCCUUCCAUGAGGCUGCGGAAAACUCUCUUCCCUGUCCCUGAGGUCACAGAAGUCAUCGAGCUCCUCUUCCUGUGCACAGCCUGCUUGAAAGAAUUAUUAAUGCUAAAACGUGUGUGUGUGUGUGUGUGUGUGUGUCCUUGAGCACAUGCAGAUAAAUGCUGGUAGAAACCAGACAGAAGAGAGCAUCUCAUUCCUUGGAGUUGGACUUGCCCAGAGGAUGUGUGUGGGAAGCCGUUGCAGAGUGGCAGUUACAGAGUGGCAGUUGCAGAGUGGCAGUUGGCUACUGCUGGC